UCAGGAUGAACGCCGGCGGCGUGCCUAACACAUGCAAGUCGAGCGAUUCUCUUCGGAGAAGAGCGGCGGACGGGUGAGUAACGCGUGGGUAACCUGCCCUGUACACACGGAUAACAUACCGAAAGGUAUGCUAAUACGAGAUAAUAUGCUUUUAUCGCAUGGUAGAAGUAUCAAAGCUUUUGCGGUACAGGAUGGACCCGCGUCUGAUUAGCUAGUUGGUAAGGUAACGGCUUACCAAGGCGACGAUCAGUAGCCGACCUGAGAGGGUGAUCGGUCCACAUUGGAACUGAGACACGGUCCAAACUCCUACGGGAGGCAGCAGUGGGGAAUAUUGCACAAUGGGCGAAAGCCUGAUGCAGCAACGCCGCGUGAGCGAUGAAGGCCUUCGGGUCGUAAAGCUCUGUCCUCAAGGAAGAUAAUGACGGUACUUGAGGAGGAAGCCCCGGCUAACUACGUG
This 457-nucleotide ribosomal RNA is filed under the name uncultured bacterium. RNAcentral's name for it is "bacterial SSU rRNA". It matches the Rfam family "Bacterial small subunit ribosomal RNA", at positions 24 to 507 of the family's 1533-position model. The record is from RNAcentral.